This 388-nucleotide ribosomal RNA is filed under the name uncultured Anaerolineaceae bacterium. RNAcentral's name for it is "bacterial SSU rRNA". It matches the Rfam family "Bacterial small subunit ribosomal RNA", at positions 983 to 1382 of the family's 1533-position model. Lineage: Bacteria; Bacillati; Chloroflexota; Anaerolineae; Anaerolineales; Anaerolineaceae. The record is from RNAcentral.
GACAUACAAGUAGUAGGGAAGGAAACUGGACCGACCCUUCGGGAGGCUUGUACAGGUGCUGCAUGGCUGUCGUCAGCUCGUGUCGUGAGAUGUUCGGUUAAGUCCGCUAACGAGCGCAACCCUCGCUGUGUGUUACAAGUGUCACACGGAACUGCCGGUCAUAAACCGGAGGAAGGUGGGGAUGACGUCAAGUCAGCAUGGCCUUUAUAUCCUGGGCUACACACACGCUACAAUGGGAAGGGACAAUAGGUUGCGAAGCCGCGAGGCGGAGCCAAUCCAGCAAAACUUCCCUCAGUUCAGAUUGCAGGCUGCAACCCGCCUGCAUGAAGUUGGAGUUGCUAGUAAACGCAGGUCAGCCAUACUGCGUUGAAUACGUUCCCGGGGCGUU